Athene cunicularia (burrowing owl) is the source of this 322-nucleotide long non-coding RNA. RefSeq lists it as uncharacterized. The record is from RefSeq and is a predicted model, not a curated record. The transcript is spliced from 3 exons. NCBI's taxonomy places the organism in Eukaryota, Metazoa, Chordata, Aves, Strigiformes, Strigidae.
AUUUUCUUUGCCACUCAGCCUGCAAUUUAACUCAUGAAGCAUCCAAGUAAGGCAUUAAGAGACACCUCCACACCUCUUCAGUUUCACAGAUUGACCUAUCCAGGACCAUCCUGAGAAACAGAGUUGUUGAGGGAAGCUUUCAAAAACACGAAGAGCAACCCUAGAAAAUAUUGAAUGAAUGAACAAAAGGUAAACCACUUUACCUCCCCCAACACCGGAUCAGGACAACCACGCUCAGGUUUUUUUCCUGAUUUGAGUGCAGAGGAAUAAAUCUGACUGUGAGCAUCAAGUAUGAACGCAAGUUCACUCUGUGCUCAUUUAC